UGACGUGGCUUCACGUGACCAGGAGCUGACAUGCUGGUGUGUUGGUCCAAAUAGCGGUUCCUCCUCAGCUACCAGCUCCCUGUUUCCUUAAAGGUGGUGUGACUGUGGCCAAAGAAGGUGGAGGAGGACAGGGAGGAAACCCAUCCAGAUCCUUGUAGGUUGCUGUGAAGGUACUGGAGCAGAAGAGUCUCCUGCCUUAAAUAUCUUG
This 208-nucleotide long non-coding RNA is filed under the name Homo sapiens (human). Its description in RNAcentral is "non-protein coding lnc-ARMCX3-2:2". The record is from RNAcentral. Lineage: Eukaryota; Metazoa; Chordata; Mammalia; Primates; Hominidae.